Molecule: ribosomal RNA, 253 nt
Filed under: uncultured prokaryote
Description: partial 16S ribosomal RNA
Rfam family: Bacterial small subunit ribosomal RNA
Source: RNAcentral
ACAGAGGUCCCGAGCGUUGUUCGGAUUCACUGGGCGUAAAGGGUGCGUAGGUGGUGGGGUAAGUCGGAUGUGAAAUCUCGGAGCUCAACUCCGAAAUGGCAUUGGAAACUACCCUGCUGGAGGUUUGGAGGGGGGACUGGAAUACUUGGUGUAGCAGUGAAAUGCGUAGAUAUCAAGUGGAACACCAGUGGCGAAGGCGAGUCCCUGGACAAAACCUGACACUGAGGCACGAAAGCUAGGGGAGCAAACAGGA